UACGUAGGAGGCAAGCGUUGUCCGGAAUUAUUGGGCGUAAAGAGCUCGUAGGCGGUUCGGCAAGUCGGAUGUGAAAUCUCCACGCUUAACGUGGAGGGGCCAUUCGAAACUGCUGUGACUCGAGUCCGGUAGGGGAGUGUGGAAUUCCCGGUGUAGCGGUGAAAUGCGUAGAGAUCGGGAGGAACACCAGAGGCGAAGGCGGCGACCUGGACAGGCACUGACACUCAACUACGAAAGCGUGGGGAGCAAACAGG
Molecule: ribosomal RNA, 254 nt
Filed under: uncultured bacterium
Lineage: Bacteria
Description: partial 16S ribosomal RNA
Rfam family: Bacterial small subunit ribosomal RNA
Source: RNAcentral